AAUCAACGCUGGCGGCGUGCCUCAGACAUGCAAGUCGAACGAUUAAGACUUCCUUCGGGAAGUGCAUAAAGUGGCGCACGGGUGAGUAACACGUAAGUAAUCUACCCUCGAGUGGGGAAUAACGUUCGGAAACGGACGCUAAUACCGCAUAACGCAGCGGCACCGCAAGGUGACAGUUGUUAAAGGAGUAAUUCGCUUGAGGAGGAGCUUGCGGCAGAUUAGCUUGUUGGUAAGGAACGGCUUACCAAGGCUACGAUCUGUAUCCGGUCUAAGAGGACGGUCGGACACACUGACACUGAAUAACGGGUCAGACUCCUACGGGAGGCAGCAGUCGGGAAUUUUGGGCAAUGGGCGAAAGCCUGACCCAGCAACGCCGCGUGAAGGAUGAAGUAUUUCGGUAUGUAAAC
RNAcentral lists this ribosomal RNA (407 nucleotides) under uncultured bacterium. RNAcentral describes it as "bacterial SSU rRNA". It matches the Rfam family "Bacterial small subunit ribosomal RNA", at positions 32 to 430 of the family's 1533-position model. The record is from RNAcentral.